RNAcentral lists this ribosomal RNA (484 nucleotides) under uncultured bacterium. RNAcentral's name for it is "partial 16S ribosomal RNA". It matches the Rfam family "Bacterial small subunit ribosomal RNA", at positions 28 to 507 of the family's 1533-position model. The record is from RNAcentral.
GUUGAACGCUGGCGGCAGGCCUAACACAUGCAAGUCGAGCGGAUGAAGGGGGCGUGCUCCUCGCUGCAGCGGCGGACGGGCGGGUGAUUCCUACGAAUCUGCCUUGUAUUUGGGGAUAACAUCCGUUAACGGGCGCUGAUACCACAUACGUUCAGAUGUUGAAAGUGGGGGAUCUUUGGACAUCGACGUUUCUGCUGACCCUAGGUCGUAUUAGCUAGUUGGUUGGGUAAAGGCCUACCAAGGCGACGAUCCGUAACUGGUCUGAGAGGAUGAUCAGCCACACUGGAACUGAGACACGGUCCAGACUCCUACGGGAGGCAGCAGUGGGGAAUAUUGGACAAUGGGCGAAAGCCUGAUCCAGCCAUGCCGCGUGUGUGAAGAAGGUCUUCGGAUUGUAAAGCACUUUAAGUUGGGAGGAAGGGAAGUAAGUUAAUACCUUGCUGUUUUGACGUUACCAACAGAAUAAGCACCGGCUAACUUCGUG